UGGGGGAUAUUGCACAAUGGGCGAAAGCCUGAUGCAGCGACGCCGCGUGGGGGAUGAAGGCCUUCGGGUUGUAAACUUCUUUUGCUCUGAACAAGGCAUGCCUUUGGGGUGUGUUGAGUGUAGGGGUUGAUUAGCGCCGGCUAACUACGUGCCAGCAGCCGCGGUAAUACGUAGGGCGCGAGCGUUGUCCGGAAUUAUUGGGCGUAAAGGGCUUGUAGGUGGCUGGUUGCGUCUGUCGUGAAAGCUCAUGGCUUAACUGUGGGUUUGCGGUGGGUACGGGCUGGCUUGAGUGCAGUAGGGGAGGCUGGAAUUCCUGGUGGAGCGGUGGAAUGCGCAGAUAUCAGGAGGAAUACCGGUGGCGAAGGCGGGUCUCUGGGCUGUUACUGACGCUGAGGAGCGAAAGCGUGGGGAGCGAACAGG
Molecule: ribosomal RNA, 420 nt
Filed under: Fusobacteriota bacterium
Lineage: Bacteria; Fusobacteriati; Fusobacteriota
Description: Fusobacteria bacterium partial 16S ribosomal RNA
Rfam family: Bacterial small subunit ribosomal RNA
Source: RNAcentral